GGCUCAUUAAAUCAGUUAUCGUUUAUUUGAUAGUACCUUACUACAUGGAUAACCGUGGUAAUUCUAGAGCUAAUACAUGCUAAAAACCCCAACUUCGGGAGGGGUGUAUUUAUUAGAUAAAAAACCAAUGCCCUUCGGGGCUCCUUGGUGAUUCAUAAUAACUUCUCAGAUCGCAUGGCUUUACGCCGGCGACGGUUCAUUCAAAUUUCUGCCCUAUCAACUUUCGAUGGUAAGGUAGUGGCUUACCAUGGUUUCAACGGGUAACGGGGAAUUAGGGUUCGAUUCCGGAGAGGGAGCCUGAGAAACGGCUACCACAUCCAAGGAAGGCAGCAGGCGCGCAAAUUACCCAAUUCCGAUACGGAGAGGUAGUGACAAUAAAUACUGAUACAGGGCUCUUUUGGGUCUUGUAAUUGGAAUGAGUACAAUUUAAACCUCUUAACGAGGAACAAUUGGAGGGCAAGUCUGGUGCCAGCAGCCGCGGUAAUUCCAGCUCCAAUAGCGUAUAUUAAAGUUGUUGCAGUUAAAAAGCUCGUAGUUGAACCUUUGGCCUGGCUGGCAGGUCCGCCUCACCGCGUGCACUUGUCCGGCCGGGCCUUUUCUUCUGGAGAACCGCAUGCCCUUCACUGGGUGUGUUGGGGACCAGGACUUUUACUUUGAAAAAAUUAGAGUGUUCAAAGCAGGCCUUUGCUCGAAUACGUUAGCAUGGAAUAAUAGAAUAGGACGUGCGGUCCUAUUUUGUUGGUUUCUAGGACCGCCGUAAUGAUUAAUAGGGACAGUCGGGGGCAUCAGUAUUCAAUUGUCAGAGGUGAAAUUCUUGGAUUUAUUGAAGACUAACUACUGCGAAAGCAUUUGCCAAGGAUGUUUUCAUUAAUCAGUGAACGAAAGUUAGGGGAUCGAAGACGAUCAGAUACCGUCGUAGUCUUAACCAUAAACUAUGCCGACUAGGGAUCGGGCGGUGUUUCUAUU
This 966-nucleotide ribosomal RNA is filed under the name Pseudopithomyces sp. DB-2023a. RNAcentral's name for it is "SSU rRNA". It matches the Rfam family "Eukaryotic small subunit ribosomal RNA", at positions 95 to 1070 of the family's 1831-position model. The record is from RNAcentral. Lineage: Eukaryota; Fungi; Ascomycota; Dothideomycetes; Pleosporales; Didymosphaeriaceae.